AUAUAUACCUAAUAUGAAAUAAAAUCCUUCAUACAAACUAAGGUGUUGACUUCAGAUUGGAUUGUAGUAUGAUGAUUCAAGGAAGAUUAUUCCACUUGUUGUUUUCCCCCAAUAUUUGUAUUCUUUAAGAAUGUUAUUUUAUAUCUUGGUACUUUUACUCACAGCAUCAGGUCUUCCCAGAAGUGCAAAAUAUGGGAUUAUCAUUGGCGUUGGAAUACCAGGACUCGUGUGCUUAAUCGGACUUGCGUGUUUCGCAUUUGGUAGGAUCAGGGCUUUCAGUCACCGCGGUCGUUUAAACUCUAGCGAGCUCGGAAUCAUCACGAUCUCUCAGCAGCCGGUGGUCGGAGCUGCUGGCCUUGAUGGGCCAACCAUUGCGUCUUUUCCGAAGACAGUGCUCGGGGAGAGCCGGAGGCUUCCGAAGCCUAGUGAUAGCACUUGUCCAAUAUGCUUAUCCGAAUACGAGCCCAAGGAAACAUUGAAGUCCAUUCCAGAGUGCAAUCACUAUUUUCAUAACAAUUGUAUAGAUGAAUGGCUUAAGCUCAACGGCACAUGCCCCGUAUGCCGCAAUUCACCGGAGAGUUCAAUUGGGACGCCUUGCUCAUCAAUGUCUUUCUCAUAUUCAUUGUCAUCAUCGGGCCAUCAUUAGUCCAACAUUUUUCGAUAGCAUUACAUUUACAUUGAUAUACAUAUAUAAUGAAGUUAAUCGAGUUAAAGUGUCAUUUUUGCUAUGUCGUAAAUUCAUAGUUGGAUUAGUAAAUCACUAAAUUUUGUUGAAGUUGUCGGUGGGGUGGAAGCAAGAAUGAAGUUCUGGGUCAUGUUUAGUAUAGAGUACUUAAUUAUGUAAACUACUUUUGACUUUUAUGUAGAUCGCGAG
RNAcentral lists this long non-coding RNA (874 nucleotides) under Olea europaea subsp. europaea. Lineage: Eukaryota; Viridiplantae; Streptophyta; Magnoliopsida; Lamiales; Oleaceae. The record is from RNAcentral.